UGAUGGUGUUCGUGGUCAUGAUCGUGAUGAGCAUGCUCGUGAUCAUGAUCGUCAUCAUCAUGGUCAUCGUCGUCGUGAUCAUCAUGA
Molecule: microRNA precursor, 87 nt
Filed under: Otariodibacter oris
Lineage: Bacteria; Pseudomonadati; Pseudomonadota; Gammaproteobacteria; Pasteurellales; Pasteurellaceae
Description: microRNA mir-598
Source: RNAcentral